CAGUCGCCACGGGAAUACGAAGGGGGCUAGCGUUGCUCGGAAUCACUGGGCGUAAAGGGUGCGUAGGCGGGUCUUUAAGUCAGGGGUGAAAUCCUGGAGCUCAACUCCAGAACUGCCUUUGAUACUGAAGAUCUUGAGUUCGGGAAAGGUGAGUGGAACUGCGAGUGUAGAGGUGAAAUUCGUAGAUAUUCGCAAGAACACCAGUGGCGAAGGCGGCUCACUGGCCCGAUACUGACGCUGAGGCACGAAAGCGUGGGGAGCAAACAGGAUUAGAUACCCCUGUAGUCCCUGUCUCUUAUAC
RNAcentral lists this ribosomal RNA (301 nucleotides) under uncultured bacterium. RNAcentral describes it as "partial 16S ribosomal RNA". It matches the Rfam family "Bacterial small subunit ribosomal RNA", at positions 509 to 807 of the family's 1533-position model. The record is from RNAcentral.